This 495-nucleotide ribosomal RNA is filed under the name uncultured bacterium. RNAcentral describes it as "partial 16S ribosomal RNA". It matches the Rfam family "Bacterial small subunit ribosomal RNA", at positions 28 to 507 of the family's 1533-position model. The record is from RNAcentral.
GACGAACGCUGGCGGCGUGCCUAAUACAUGCAAGUAGAACGCUGAAGGAGGAGCUUGCUUCUCUGGAUGAGUUGCGAACGGGUGAGUAACGCGUAGGUAACCUGCCUGGUAGCGGGGGAUAACUGUUGGAAACGAUAGCUAAUACCGCAUAAUAGUAGAUGUUGCAUGACAUUUGCUUAAAAGGUGCAAUUGCAUCACUACCAGAUGGACCUGCGUUGUAUUAGCUAGUUGGUGGGGUAACGGCUCACCAAGGCGACGAUACAUAGCCGACCUGAGAGGGUGAUCGGCCACACUGGGACUGAGACACGGCCCAGACUCCUACGGGAGGCAGCAGUAGGGAAUCUUCGGCAAUGGACGGAAGUCUGACCGAGCAACGCCGCGUGAGUGAAGAAGGUUUUCGGAUCGUAAAGCUCUGUUGUAAGAGAAGAACGAGUGUGAGAGUGGAAAGUUCACACUGUGACGGUAUCUUACCAGAAAGGGACGGCUAACUACGUG